CCCAGGGCGAUGCCCUGGGCUGGUAUAUAUCGCCCUUACAGGGCU
Small RNA from Candidatus Magnetomorum sp. HK-1, 45 nucleotides. It matches the Rfam family "Acido-Lenti-1 RNA". The record is from Rfam. NCBI's taxonomy places the organism in Bacteria, Pseudomonadati, Thermodesulfobacteriota, Desulfobacteria, Desulfobacterales, Candidatus Magnetomoraceae.